AAGUCGUAACAAGGUCUCCGUAGGUGAACCUGCGGAGGGAUCAUUAACGAAUUUGGGCCCCAAUUGGAUCCAUCAUCCCCCUCAAACCUGUGGAAGUGAGAUGUGUUUCGGCGCCCAGAGGCGCCGAAUCUAUGCCGUUUAGCUUGUGUCUGAAGUAAAAACAGAUUUAAAACUUUCAACAAAGGAUCUCUUGGCUCUC
Molecule: unclassified non-coding RNA, 199 nt
Filed under: Archaeorhizomyces sp.
Lineage: Eukaryota; Fungi; Ascomycota; Archaeorhizomycetes; Archaeorhizomycetales; Archaeorhizomycetaceae
Description: partial contains small subunit ribosomal RNA, internal transcribed spacer 1, and 5.8S ribosomal RNA
Rfam family: Eukaryotic small subunit ribosomal RNA (bases 1-46)
Source: RNAcentral